CGGAUUGGAGUCUGCAACUCGACUCCAUGAAGCUGGAUUCGCUAGUAAUCGCGCAUCAGCCAUGGCGCGGUGAAUACGUUCCCGGGCCUUGUACACACCGCCCGUCAAGCCAUGGGAGCCGGGGGUGCCUGAAGUACGUGACCGCGAGGAGCGUCCUAGGGCAAAACUGGUGACUGGGGCUAAGUCGUAACAAGGUACC
Molecule: ribosomal RNA, 199 nt
Filed under: uncultured bacterium
Lineage: Bacteria
Description: partial 16S ribosomal RNA
Rfam family: Bacterial small subunit ribosomal RNA
Source: RNAcentral